GACGAACGCUGGCGGCGUGCCUAAUACAUGCAAGUAGAACGCACAGUUUAUACCGUAGCUUGCUACACCAUAGACUGUGAGUUGCGAACGGGUGAGUAACGCGUAGGUAACCUGCCUGGUAGCGGGGGAUAACUAUUGGAAACGAUAGCUAAUACCGCAUAAUAUUAAUUAUUGCAUGAUAAUUAAUUGAAAGGUGCAAUUGCACCACUACCAGAUGGACCUGCGUUGUAUUAGCUAGUAGGGGAGGUAACGGCUCACCUAGGCGACGAUACAUAGCCGACCUGGGAGGGUGAUCGGCCACACUGGGACUGAGACACGGCCCAGACUCCUACGGGAGGCAGCAGUAGGGAAUCUUCGGCAAUGGACGAAAGUCUGACCGAGCAACGCCGCGUGAGUGAAGAAGGGUUUCGGAUCGUAAAGCUCUGUUGUAAGAGAAGAACGGGUGUGAGAGUGGAAAGUUCACACUGUGACGGUAUCUUACCAGAAAGGGACGGCUAACUACGUG
This 505-nucleotide ribosomal RNA is filed under the name uncultured bacterium. Its description in RNAcentral is "partial 16S ribosomal RNA". It matches the Rfam family "Bacterial small subunit ribosomal RNA", at positions 28 to 507 of the family's 1533-position model. The record is from RNAcentral.